Pseudophryne corroboree (corroboree frog) is the source of this 2222-nucleotide long non-coding RNA. RefSeq lists it as uncharacterized. The transcript is spliced from 6 exons. Lineage: Eukaryota; Metazoa; Chordata; Amphibia; Anura; Myobatrachidae. The record is from RefSeq and is a predicted model, not a curated record.
GCAGUCACUCACCCGCUUGACACUCCCUCUGGGCGGAUCGUUUCUCCAUCACCUCUCCAGUAAGCCUGUCACUCACGGCUCUGCGGACCUUCCAUCCUCUACGCGGCACCACGGUCCCGACUGUCUCUGUUUCAGCUCUCUCUCCCCUCUGCUCGGCGCUGCCGGAUCCCGUUCACCUCCUCAGUUUCGAGCGUCUCAACGAAGGGAUUUCAGUAUCCACCGACUCAGUUUCAACUUCAACUAUUGUUUCAGUAUCCACGGGAAACUGGGUUGAUCCGACUGUGCCAAGAACUGGCCAACACAGACUCAUCAUUACGUCCGGGUAUGGAGAUACAGGUGGAACUCUCUCUUGAAUUGGUUUAUUCUGUCUCUGAACCCGAAGUCCCGUUUGCGUGGACUUAUAUCUGGAUUACUCCUCUAUGAUAACUCUCCGUUGGAGUGUGGGUGGAAUACCAGUCAAGAUUACAAUUAUACACUAUACUUUUAGACAACAAUCACAUGGAAACAGAUUAUUUAUUGAACUGGAUCCAGGAACACCGUAUUCACCACUGCAAAGAUCUAGAUAAGAUGUGGCUGGCUUAUUACUGUAUCUCGUCCCUGCGCUGCGGGGUGCUGCUCUUGAGGAUAAAUUAACUUGACUGAGCCACAACUUCCCUCCACAGUUCAUCAAAAUAGGCCAGGCUGCGGCAACUGGCAGUCACUCACCCGCUUGACACUCCCUCUGGGCGGAUCGUCUCUCCAUCACCUCUCCAGUAAGCCUGUCACUCACGGCUCUGCGGACCUUCCGUUCUCUACGCGGCACCACGGUCCCGACUGUCUCUGUUUCAGCUCUCUCUCCCCUCUGCUCGGCGCUGCCGGAUCCCGUUCACCUCCUCAGUUUCGGUCCUGGUGGCUCCAUGGUCCUCCUCCAUCUACAGCCCACCCCUCCUGGUACUCACACAUGCUGUGUCUGUUGUACAGUCUUCCUACCCUUCCUCGGGUCCCAGUGGCUUCCUUUUCCAGCACAGUGUAUGUGAUGUCAUGCUGUCACCACUGCUGAAGUGAAGAAGAACCAUGAAGAGGUGCAGGCACUGUGCAUCUUGAAGACAAGCCAAGAAGGGGCUGGAGGGACAAGAGAGGUGAGGAAUCUGCUGUAGGGAUACAAGGAAUGAAGCUGCUGGAGAGACACAGGCAGUGAGCUGCUGGAGUGACAGAGAUGCACUACUGUGGUCAUUAUGUGUAAGGGACACUACUAUUGUGGACAUUAUGUGUAAGUGACACUACUACUAUGGGCAUUCUGUAUAUAAGUGGCACUACUACUGUGGGCAUUUUGUGUAUAAGUGGCACUGCUGUAGUAAUUAUGUGUAAGGGGCACUACUAUUGUGGGCAUUAUGUGUAAGUGACACUACUACUAUGGGCAUUCUGUAUAUAAGUGGCACUACUACUGUGGGCAUUUUGUGUAUAAGCGGCACUGCUGUAGUAAUUAUGUGUAAGGGGCACUACUAUUGUGGGCAUUAUGUGUAAGGGACACUACUACUAUGGGCAUUCUGUAUAUAAGUGGCACUACUACUCUGGCCAUUUUGUGUAUAAGUGGAACUUCUGUUGGCUUUAUGUGUAAUGUGCACUACUACUGUGGGAAUUGUGUAUAAGGGGCACUGGUGUCGGCAUUGUAUAUAAGGGGCACUACUGUGUGGCAUAAAGUGUGUAAAGGGUACCAUUGUGUAGUACAAUAAGAAUAAAAGCCACUAGUGAGUGACAUAACCAUCAGGGCCGGUUCUAGACCUUAUGGCGCCCAGGGCGAAAGUUUCCUUUGGUGCCCCCCCCCCCACCCGUGGCUUCACAGGGAAGGGGUGUGGUCACAGUUAUGACCCCUGUAGUUGUGCCCCCAGUAGUUGUGCACCCAGUAGAGUCACCCCCAGUAGUUAUGCCCCUGUAGCUGUGCCCCCCUCUAGAUUUGCCCCCAGUAGCUGUGCCCCCAGUAGAUUUGCACCCUGUAGUUGUGCCCCCAGUAGUUGUGCUCCCAGUAGCUGUGCCCCCAGUAGCUGUGCCUCUUAUAGUUGUGCCCCCUGUAUCUGUGCACCCUGUAGUUGUGCCCCCCAUAGCACCGCUUAUAAAUACAAAAAAACAAACAAACAAACAAUACUUACCAGCCCCGAUCCUGCUGUGCUGUGCUGCCCUCCAUCUCUGGCCGCCCGCUCCUCUCUAUGGGAGAGAUGUCAUGACAUCUCUCCCAUAGCAGCACC